UUUUUUUUUUGAGAGAUAGGGAGCACGGAGCACGCUACUCGCUUCGUUUAUUUCAUUUAGAAAUAAACUUAACUAGAAAUGUGAAUCAACUAGGAUUCGAACUUAGGUCUCGGAUACCAACCACCAAGCCCUUUACCACUUGCUCUAAGGACGGUCGGUGGCCCCACAUGUUCUUUGAAUUUCUUUUGCAGCGUUCAACAGAGUAAAAAGAGUUUGGUGAGGGAAUAAUAUGGAAACAAUGGUAAAAAUUAAGCAUAGUAAUCGUCUAGAUUGUCACGGACUUAAGCAAAAUUA
Molecule: long non-coding RNA, 294 nt
Filed under: Ananas comosus (pineapple)
Lineage: Eukaryota; Viridiplantae; Streptophyta; Magnoliopsida; Poales; Bromeliaceae
Description: long non-coding RNA (ACOM_LNC009692)
Source: RNAcentral